GGUUUUUCAUAAAUAGGUCUAAUUAUUUUGAGAUAUGUUCCACCAAUAUUUAGUUUAUUGAGAGUUUUUAACAUCAAGAGAUGUUGAAUUGUAUCGAAGUCCUUAUCUGCAUCUAUUGAGAUAAUAAUGUGGUUUCUGUCUUUGGUUCUGUUUAUUCAACAUUCUUAAAGAAAAAAAUUUU
Molecule: long non-coding RNA, 181 nt
Organism: Sapajus apella (tufted capuchin)
Lineage: Eukaryota; Metazoa; Chordata; Mammalia; Primates; Cebidae
Exons: 3
Source: RefSeq, a predicted model, not a curated record